CCUACGGGUGGCAGCAGUGAGGAAUAUUGGUCAAUGGACGAGAGUCUGAACCAGCCAAGUAGCGUGAAGGAUGACUGCCCUAUGGGUUGUAAACUUCUUUUAUAUGGGAAUAAAAUGUUCCACGUGUGGGAUUUUGUAUGUACCAUAUGAAUAAGGAUCGGCUAACUCCGUGCCAGCAGCCGCGGUAAUACGGAGGAUCCGAGCGUUAUCCGGAUUUAUUGGGUUUAAAGGGAGCGUAGGUGGUUUGUUAAGUCAGUUGUGAAAGUUUGCGGCUCAACCGUGAAAUUGCAGUUGAAACUGGCAGUCUUGAGUACAGUAGAGGUGGGCGGAAUUCGUGGUGUAGCGGUGAAAUGCUUAGAUAUCACGAAGAACUCCGAUUGCGAAGGCAGUUCACUGGACUGCAACUGACGCUGAGGCUCGAAAGUGUGGGUAUCAAACAGGAUUAGAUACCCGAGUAGUC
This 460-nucleotide ribosomal RNA is filed under the name uncultured bacterium. RNAcentral's name for it is "partial 16S ribosomal RNA". It matches the Rfam family "Bacterial small subunit ribosomal RNA", at positions 338 to 795 of the family's 1533-position model. The record is from RNAcentral.